UUUGUUAUGAGAAAUGGAAGUCAAAUUGUAACUCUAAUCUACUUGAAAAGUUUAUGCAAUAUAAGGCAGAAUGCAGUUUUCUCAAAUUGGAAGGCAGAAUGCAGUUUUCUCAAAUUGGAAUGCUAUGUUGAUAAAGUUUUGCACUAUUUUCCAUGAAUUUCUCAUCUUGUUGACUUUGACAUAUGAUAUGUGUAUUUUGGAAAUGAAUUCAAAUAGUUUCAAAUGAUGUGCAUUUACAUUGAAUUAAUGAUACUUGGCCCUGGUAAACGUAAUAGGAGUCGAGGUUAGCUUAAAGGUAUGACAUGCCAUAUAAACAUACAGAGUUCGCAGUACUGCUACCGAUACAUGAUCUAUAUUUGAGGUUACAUAUCAGGUACCUCAUAAGUACGGCCACAAAGCCCUGCUAUCACAUUUUUGGCCUUUGAGCCUACCGUUCGGCACCCUGUGCCUACCGUUAUAAUUCCUUAUCUACCUAGUCGACCCUACUAUGUGGUUAUAAGGGCUAAGGACCUAAUUAAGGUUGAUACUUGUUUUGUGAAAUUAUCAGUGAAUAUUAACAACUUUUGAUUAGCUUGAAAUUGUUUACUUGAUUAUCUGUAUAAGUGAACUUGUUUGCUUUAUUUUGUUAUUUGUUUUCUAUCACCCACUGAGCAUUACCUCAGCGUGUUGGUUCUUAUCUCACGCAGGUUGUAGAUAAAGUAGAUACGCGAAGUUCAUCAGAGGUCUACAUCAGAUAUCAAAGCCAUUAUCAUAGCUGGUUGUUUUAAGUCUCUGAGUCAUAGUACAUUUAUAUUUUGGCAUGUACAUUUUUAAUAGAGUGAGUUGUAAACGAGUAUGUAAAUCAAGGAAUAGUAAGAUAUCAAAUGCCAGUUGUUAGUGUAAUUAUCAAUGUGAUUUUCAUAUGUAUUACAGGUUAAAGUGCUUAUGAAAUAGAGGAAAUUCUGCCAAAAUAAAUUUCGGUUUAAAAUCUCACAGUUACUUUAUUCACCUUAUAAAAAUUGCUCGGACUACCUAAAACUUGGUAUUUACAGAUAAAGAAAAUUGUUUAGUCUGGAUAUAUCAAAAGAGGCAUAGUUUGUGAUAUUCCUUGCUCUGUCUACACUUUGAUAGGGUAAGGGGUGUUACAAUUAGUGGUAUCAGAGCAAAGGUUUAGGUGGUUCUAGGUCAUAGUAUGUAUGUGUAUAUGCAUAGUAUAUGUACAUGCCAAAAUGAGUUAUAGCUAUGAUAUGGUUCUGAUGUAAAUCUCUUUCUUUAUGUCUUUAGGUCUGAUAGAAGAUGUUAUCUGAGUCACAGAGAGCAAUAGAUGAAGAGGUAGAGAGUCAUGCUCCCUCUGAGGCAGCUGCACCUGCUGCUACUCCUCCACCUGUUGCUGCUGGCGGACCAGGGCAGGAUGCAUUGUUUCAGCAAAUAGCUGAGUUGCUUAGGAGGGUUACCCAAAAUGUGCCAGAGGUACCACCACAACCACCUGUAGCAGUUGAAGUUCCCCCACCUGUUGUAGCCCAGGCACAAUCUAGGCCUCCAAUAGAAAAACUCAGAAAAUAUGGUGCUAUAGAGUUUAGGAGUAAAAAGGAAGAUGAUCCUUCAGCUGCAGAAUUCUGGCUAGAAAGUACAGAAAGGGUUUUACAGCAGCUAUAGUGUUCACCAGCAUAGAUCUUAAUGUGUGCAGUAUCAUUGCUAAAGGAUGAAGCCUAUAGAUGGUGGACAACAUUAACACAGAUGGUUCGACUAGAGCGGCAGACUUGGAAAUUCUUUUUGGCAAAGUUUAAGAAGAAAUAUGUUGGGGCCUUAUAUAUAGAGGAGAGAAGAAGGGAAUUCUUAUAUCUCAGACAGGGCAGGCUUACAGUAACAGAGUAUGAGCGAGAAUUUGUCCGACUUAGUAAGUAUGCCACAGAGAUAGUUCCUACAGAGGAAGAGAGAUGUAAACGCUUUGAGCAAGGAUUACAUGCUGAUAUCAGGAUGUACCUCACAGCUAUGCAUAUCAGGGAACUUUCAGUUUUAGUAGAGACAGCCCACAGCCUGGAGUGAAUUAAAGAAGAAGAGCAAAGUAGAAAGCAUAAAGGGCAGCAGAAGAGGAGCCAGAGCCAGUAUCAGGGACAGUCCUUUGCAUCACAGACAACUAGUAAGAGACAGAGGGAAUUUCAGUAGACAGGGCAGAGAGGGCCGCCUAGGCAGAUUCAGAGACCUGGGCAGAGUUCAGUAGUGAGGUCUGGACAGCAAACUACCUCAGUAUCUAGUACAGGAGGACCAGGUAGAGGGUUGCCACCAGUAUGUGAGCAUUGUGGCAGGAGACAUGGCGGAGUAUGCAGGAGAUUAACUGGGGCUUGCUACUUAUGUGGAAGCUCAAACCACUUUAUGAGGGAUUGUCCUAGAGGCCAGUCAGUGCAGCCUAUGCAAACAGAGAGAUCUAUGCCGACAGGGUCUAGAGGCAAAGGUAGAGGUAGAGGUGAAUCUAGUAACGCUCAGAGUCACAGAGUAUCAGAGACAAUAGACAGACCAGACACUAGAGCACCUGCCAGGGCAUAUGCUAUUCGUGCAAAUGAAGACCAAGACAAACCAGAUGUUAUAGCUGGUAAAUUUUCUAUCUUUGGCAAAUAUGUUUAUGCAUUAAUUGAUCCUGGUUCCACACAUUCAUACAUCAGCAUACCCAUCAGUAAUUUGAAGGGAAUUCAAGUAGAACCCUUAGAACAUGACAUAGCAGUGACCAAUCCCUUAGGAAAUCUUGUGAUUGUGAAUAGAGUUUAUAGAGAUUGUCCUAUAUGUAUGCAAGGUCAUACCUUUUUAGGUGAUUUGAUAGAGUUACCUUUUAGAGAGUUUGAUGUGAUUUUGGGUAUGGAUUGGUUGUCUAGACAUCAUGUCAUAGUUGACUGUAAGUUAAAGCGAGUCACACUCAAAACAUCAGAGGGUUCUGAGGUUAUAGUUGUGGGUGAGAGGUCAGAUUACCUCUCUAAUGUCAUAUCUGCCACUACAGCUAGGAGGUUGAUUAGAAAAGGCUGUACAGCCUAUCUAGCUAGUAUGAUUAAAACUAAGAAGAAAGGUCCAAGUGUGUCAAACCUACCCACAGUAUGUCAUUUUCUAGAUGUAUUUCCUGAAGAGUUGCCAGGGUUACCUCCAGAAAGGGAAGUGGAUUUUGCUAUAGAAGUUGUAACAGGUACCGCACCUAUUUCAAUUGCUCCUUACAGAAUGGCUCCUACAGAAUUAAAAGAGUUGAAAAUACAGUUACAAGAGUUACUUGAUAAGGGCUUUAUUCGACCUAGUGUUUCACCAUGGGGUGCACCAGUGUUAUUUGUAAAAAAGAAAGAUGGAUCUCUUCGGUUGUGCAUUGAUUACAGAUAGUUGAAUAAGGUAACUAUAAAGAAUAAAUAUCCACUGCCCAGAAUAGAUGAUUUGUUUGAUCAGUUAAAAGGGGCCAGCAUUUUCUCUAAGAUAGAUUUGAGAUCGGGCUACCAUCAGUUGUGAGUUAAAGGGGCAGAUGUGCCUAAGACUGCAUUCAGGACACGAUAUGGACACUAUGAGUUCCUGGUUAUGCCAUUCGGGUUAACAAAUGCACUACAUCAUUCAUGGAUAUGAUGAACCGUAUCUUCCAUCCAUAUUUAGACCAGUUUGUUGUAGUAUUCAUUGAUGAUAUUCUGGUAUACUCUAAAACUAAGGAAGACCAUGACAGGCAUCUGAGGGUAGUAUUGCAGACUCUGAGGGAAAAGCAACUUUCUGCUAAGUUCAGUAAAUGUGAUUUUUGGCUCAAUGAAGUAACAUUUUUGGGACAUGUUGUAUCAGCAGAGGGAAUCAGAUGGACCCACAGAAGAUUAAAGUUGUUCUGGAAUGGAAGCCACCAAAGAAUGUUGCAGAGAUCAGGAGUUUCUUGGGUCUAGCUGGGUACUAUAGAUGGUUUGUGAAAGGGUUUUCACUUAUAGCAGCUCCAUUGACUAAAUUAUUACAUAAGAAUGUUAAGUAUGUUUGGGAUGAUAGAUGUCAGGCAAGCUUUGACAGAUUGAAGACUAUGCUCACCGAAGCACCUGUACUUACACAACCUGUUUCUGGUAAGGAAUUUGUGAUAUAUAGUGAUGCUUCUCACAAUGGACUUGGAUGUGUUUUGAUGCAAGAAGGUAAAGUGAUUGCCUAUGCUUCUAGACAACUGAAGCCACAUGAGAAGAACUAUACUACUCAUGAUCUAGAGCUGGCUGCCAUAGUUUUUGCACUAAAGAUAUGGAGGCAUUACUUAUAUGGUGAGAAAUGUUACAUCUAUACAGAUCAUAAAAGUCUAAAAUAUUUACCCACACAGAAGGAGCUAAACUUGAGACAGAGGAAAUGGCUGGAGUUACUAAACGAUUAUGAUUGCAUUAUAGAUUAUCAGCCAGGCAAAGCUAAUCUCGUAGCAGAUGCACUCAGCAGGAAAUCCUUAUUUGCAUUAAGAGCAAUGAAUGCACGAUUGACUAUGGCAAAUGAUGGAGCUAUCAUAGCAGAAUUGAAAGUUAGACCCAGCUUACUACAACAGAUUAAAGAAGCACAGAAAGAAGAUACAGAGAUAGCUUUAUGGACUAGAAAAGUACAAGAGGGGAAGAAGCAGAAGCAUGUGAUAAGUGAUGAUGGCUACUUGUACUAUGGUAAUAGAAUAUGUGUACCUAAUGCUGGAGAGCUGAAACAGAGGAUUCUUACAGAGGCACACAACAGUCCAUAUGUUAUGCAUCCAGGUAGCACUAAGAUGUAUCAAGAUUUGCAGCCUAUUGCUAUACCAGAAUGGAAAUAUGAUAGAAUUACCAUGGAUUUUGUGACAGGAUUGCCACUCACACCAAGGAAGAAAGAUGCCAUCUGGGUAAUAGUUGACAAGUUAACUAAAUCAGCGCAUUUCUUACCAAUCAGAAUGGAUUAUACAUUAGAAAAGUAUGCAGAAUUGUACAUUAAUUACUACAUAGUGUUCCUAUCUCUAUCAUAUCAGACAGAGAUCCAAGAUUCACAUCCAGAUUCUGAGAAAAACUACAUGAAGCUUUACGGACAAGAUUGAAUUUUAGUACAGCUUUUCAUCCUCAGACAGAUGGCCAGUCAGAGAGAGUGAUUCAAGUUUUGGAAGAUAUGCUCAGAAGUUGUGUAAUUGAAUUUGAAGGAAGCUGGGAAAGAUAUCUCCCACUAGUAGAAUUUGCUUACAACAACAGUUAUCAGGCUAGUAUUAAAAUGGCUCCCUAUGAAGCAUUGUAUGGCAGAAAAUAUAGAACCCCAUUAUGCUGGACAGAACUUAGUGAAGCUAAACUUGUAGGUCCAGACUUGAUAAGACAGACCGAGGAGAAAGUGAAAAUUUUCAAAGAAAGAUUGAAAGCUGCAACAGAUAGGCAAAAAUCCUAUGCAGAUUUGAAAAGAAAAGAUAUAGAAUUUGUUGUUGGGGACAAAGUGUUUCUAAAAGUUUCUCCGUGGAAGAAAGUGCUAAGAUUUGGCAAGAAAGGUAAGCUAAGCCCUCGGUUUAUUGGUCCAUAUGAAAUAGUUGAGCGUGUGGGUCCAGUAGCCUACAGGCUAGCUUUACCUCCAGAGUUAGACAGAAUACACAAUGUCUUCCAUAUAUCCAUGUUAAGAAGAUACAGAUCUGACCCGUCACAUGUCAUUUCAGCAGAAACCAUUGAUGUACAAGCUGAUUUAACUUAUGAAGAAGAACUAGUGAAAAUUUUAGCAAGGGAAAUGAAAGAGUUAAGAAAUAAGAAGAUUCCCUUAGUGAAAGUGUUGUGGAGAAAUCACAAGGCAGAAGAAGUUACAUGGGAGAGUGAAGAAGUGAUGAAGCAACAAUAUCCACAGCUGUUCAAAGCAGGUAAAAUUUCGAGGACGAAAUUUCGUAAGAGGGGAAGAGUUGUAACAUCCUUAAAUCCAUAGCUAGAGUAGUGCCAUCACAAGGUAGGGUUAGGCUAUUUUACAACUAGAGUAAGUGGCAUUAGGAGAGGUGCUAGCUUAACUCUAAGCUGCUAAUAAUUGAAUCAUAGAAAACUCAAAUAAAGAAACGAACAUAUCCAGAAAUGAAGUAGCUAGUGUGAUUAGUGAGUCGGGAACGAGUCACUUUUGGGAGGUGCUUAGGGUUUCCCGACGUGCUUGCUUGAGGUGCUUGUUUAAAUCCGUCAUGCUUGCUUAAGUGAAAAGGACUUCUAAAAGGCUAAAUAUAUGGUUUAGUAGGUCAAUCUAUGAUUCUUGAAAGUUUAAAAACUAAAUUGAAACAUGGUAAAGAGUUUAGUAGGUUAAAGUGUAAAUAUGGAAAGUUAAAACAUAAAAUUAAGUUUAUUUCCAUGUGUCACCUAACUAAGGAAAGGAGAAAUGAUAAAGCAAAAUGAAAAAGGGAUUAUCUUCUCCACCAUUUCACUUUGCCAUAGCUCCCACCAUUGAAAACCAAAACUUUAUUUUGUCUUCCUUCCAUCAAAGCCAAGCUAAAUCUCACCCAAUCAACUUCUUGCUUUAAUUAAAAUUUAUCCUAAGACCAAGAGCUAAAGGAACAGCCAUAUAUUGAAGGGAUUGAAGAAGAAAAGUUUAGGGUUCCAUAUGCACCAAGUUUGAAAAUCAAAGGUAAGCUUACAAAAGUGUAGGAAAUAACAUCUUCUCAUUUCUUCAUGCAUGAAUUUGAAUUAUAAAGCUUUAAUUUAAAACUUAUUCAAUCAUUUUCUAAGACAUAAAUUGACCUAGGUGAAGGAACAUCAAAGGGAAAGGAGAUAGCUAGAGAAUAGAAUAGGAAAAGAAAGAGGAAUUCAAGAAAGGUUUGGUGUUUGAAUGAUUUUCUGUUUUCCUAGAAUUUUAUCAUUAAUAUAUGAAGUUGGGAAUUGAUUUUACUUGCUGGAAAUGUUGUUUUGAUUGUAUAAAUAUUUUAUAUAAAUGUUAAAGUGGUGUUUGAAAGGCUUAGAGUAAAGAAAAUUUAACAUGAGAGCUAAAAGUGCAAACCUGGCAGAAUAGGUUGUAACAGGGCAGCUUAUAUUGACAACUUCAUAACUUAUUAUGUAUUUAUUAAAAUUAGACCUAAAAUAUACCAAAUAAAAGCUGAGAUAAAGAUCUAAAAUUUUCAUGAAUUAACCAAAUUCUGAGUCUAUAGGUAAGAUGAUGAAAAUUUCAAGUGAACCUAAACUGGACACAAAGUUAGUGCAUUUGGAACAGUGUGUAUUGAUUGUACCAUAAUUAAUUAUGUACUCAGUGAAAUUUAUUUAAACAAGUGCCAAAUGAAUCUUAAGAAAUAUACCUAAAACUUUAUAGAAGACACUUAAGCUUAAAUUUGUAUGAAAAUGCAUGAAUCUGAUAUGUUUUGUGAUACUAUAAACAGGUACCAAUACUGGACUGUUUAAUAUCUUAUUGAGCAGCUUGUAAAGAAAAAUUCAUAACUUAAGUUAGAGUAUUCAGAAUUGCAUGAACCAUACCUUGUUGGAAAGAUAAGACAUAAAUGUACAUUUGUUAUAAGAAACUGAAGUCAAAUUGCAACUCUAAGCUACUUAAAAAGUUUAUGCAAUAUAAGGCAGAAUGCAGUUUUCUCAAAUUGGAAGGCAGAAUGCAGUUUUCUCAAAUUGGAAUGCUAUGUUGACAAAGUUUUGCACCAUUUGCCAUGAAUUUCUCAUCUUGUUGACUUUGACAUAUGAUAUGUGUAUUUUGGAAAUGAAUUCAAAUAG
RNAcentral lists this long non-coding RNA (7607 nucleotides) under Manihot esculenta (cassava). RNAcentral's name for it is "long non-coding RNA (MESC_LNC004161)". Lineage: Eukaryota; Viridiplantae; Streptophyta; Magnoliopsida; Malpighiales; Euphorbiaceae. The record is from RNAcentral.